Molecule: small nuclear RNA, 157 nt
Organism: Protopterus annectens (West African lungfish)
Lineage: Eukaryota; Metazoa; Chordata; Ceratodontiformes; Protopteridae
Product: U1 spliceosomal RNA
Exons: 1
Source: RefSeq, a predicted model, not a curated record
UGAAGCACCUUGAAGUGCCAUGAUCAAGAAGGUGGUUUCCCCAGGGUGAGGCUCUUCAAUUGCACUUCAGUUAGGAUAACCCGUGUAAUAUCCCCAAAUAUGGGAACUCAGCAUCACAGUUUAUGGAAGUGUGGGUCUGCAUUUGCACUGCCCCUGA